This 1077-nucleotide long non-coding RNA is filed under the name Anas platyrhynchos platyrhynchos (common mallard). RNAcentral describes it as "lncRNA (ENSAPLG00000030155.1)". The record is from RNAcentral. Lineage: Eukaryota; Metazoa; Chordata; Aves; Anseriformes; Anatidae.
AUAGUUCAUCCCCUCAAAAGGAAGUAAAGGUAAGCCUUCUUUUCCCACAGGCAGACACAUACAGAAUGUGCCCAGGAUAUAGAUCCGGGCUCUGUUCUGAAGAUGACUGUACCAAGCUACGUGGCUGGUGGUAAAUGUGUAUUCCAGACAACGACUUGGGGAAAAUGAAGGUCAAAUACAGAAAUACCCCAAAUGUAUUAAUCAGCCAAGAGGGAGAAUACAGGCAUAUCAUUAGCGGCUUAAGAUUUCUAAAAGUUUGCAUAAGAAAAGUAAAGAAUUUUGAGCUGGUAGGGCUUUUUGGUAGACCUCAGUUUGAUUGAAGCAUUUCACCUCCUCCGGGACCCUGCCUGAGGUAAGCCCUCCCCUCUGCUGCAGGGUUUGCUACCCCAGCAUACCCAUAAUACUUCUCUGCUUAUCAUUUUAGCACCUGUGAGCUUUUAAAUUGACCACUGAGGGCUUCCUCUAGCCUGAUGGGGGUGAGGUAGGGGAAAGUAGUGUGUUUGGAGAACAGCAGAGAAAAAUAACACGUUUUUCUUCAUGAGGGAGUCGGCUAGUAGGUGUUGGAUCCAGAACGUAUCGUAAAAUUACAAGUGACUGCAAAUGACAUUUACACCCCGUAAAUCUGACUCGGUUACAGGACUGCAGAUUUUUCCCUGGCACCUGCCUGUCACAGCGUGUAGGUGGUUCCCCAGCCUUCCUGCGCCACGUGUUGGUUUCACCACUGAAGCCCCAGAGUUAUCCUUAUCUGUCUGUGCUGGGGGUGGUCCAGCUGCCAAGUCAGGAGCACCCAACGUGGAGACUGGAGCAGCAGGCCCUGUGAAAUGGAUGCCCAGCCUUCGCGAUGGAUCAUUGCAGGGACCUGGGGCCAUGGUCUCACCUGGUGCUCUUGCCCAUCCCCUAGUCCCACAAGGCAGGGUGGCAGGAGCUGGUAAAUACAGAGCUGUGAACCCAUGGUAAUGGGGGAGCAUGGACACAGGGUGUGAAUGUGUCUAAGUUGUGUUCCUGUGUGACCUGCAGAUGUUUCUGGAAAGUCUGCAGUUUGGAUAAAUAAACCUGACUGCAUUUCCUGUGAGUGCA